CUUAACACAUGCAAGUCGAGGGGCAGCAUGGUCUUAGCUUGCUAAGGCCGAUGGCGACCGGCGCACGGGUGAGUAACACGUAUCCAACCUGCCGUCUACUCUUGGACAGCCUUCUGAAAGGAAGAUUAAUACAAGAUGGCAUCAUGAGUCCGCAUGUUCACAUGAUUAAAGGUAUUCCGGUAGACGAUGGGGAUGCGUUCCAUUAGAUAGUAGGCGGGGUAACGGCCCACCUAGUCUUCGAUGGAUAGGGGUUCUGAGAGGAAGGUCCCCCACAUUGGAACUGAGACACGGUCCAAACUCCUACGGGAGGCAGCAGUGAGGAAUAUUGGUCAAUGGGCGAGAGCCUGAACCAGCCAAGUAGCGUGAAGGAUGACUGCCCUAUGGGUUGUAAACUUCUUUUAUAAAGGAAUAAAGUCGGGUAUGCAUACCCGUUUGCAUGUACUUUAUGAAUAAGGAUCGGCUAACUCCGUGCCAGCAGCCGCGGUAAUACGGAGGAUCCGAGCGUUAUCCGGAUUUAUUGGGUUUAAAGGGAGCGUAGAUGGAUGUUUAAGUCAGUUGUGAAAGUUUGCGGCUCAACCGUAAAAUUGCAGUUGAUACUGGAUAUCUUGAGUGCAGUUGAGGCAGGCGGAAUUCGUGGUGUAGCGGUGAAAUGCUUAGAUAUCACGAAGAACUCCGAUUGCGAAGGCAGCCUGCUAAGCUGCAACUGACAUUGAGGCUCGAAAGUGUGGGUAUCAAACAGGAUUAGAUACCCUGGUAGUCCACACGGUAAACGAUGAAUACUCGCUGUUUGCGAUAUACAGCAAGCGGCCAAGCGAAAGCGUUAAGUAUUCCACCUGGGGAGUACGCCGGCAACGGUGAAACUCAAAGGAAUUGACGGGGGCCCGCACAAGCGGAGGAACAUGUGGUUUAAUUCGAUGAUACGCGAGGAACCUUACCCGGGCUUAAAUUGCAGAUGAAUUACGGUGAAAGCCGUAAGCCGCAAGGCAUCUGUGAAGGUGCUGCAUGGUUGUCGUCAGCUCGUGCCGUGAGGUGUCGGCUUAAGUGCCAUAACGAGCGCAACCCUUGUUGUCAGUUACUAACAGGUUCCGCUGAGGACUCUGACAAGACUGCCAUCGUAAGAUGUGAGGAAGGUGGGGAUGACGUCAAAUCAGCACGGCCCUUACGUCCGGGGCUACACACGUGUUACAAUGGGGGGUACAGAGGGCCGCUACCACGCGAGUGGAUGCCAAUCCCAAAAACCUCUCUCAGUUCGGACUGGAGUCUGCAACCCGACUCCACGAAGCUGGAUUCGCUAGUAAUCGCGCAUCAGCCACGGCGCGGUGAAUACGUUCCCGGGCCUUGUACACACCGCCCGUCAAGCCAUGGGAGCCGGGGGUACCUGAAGUGCGUAACCGCGAGGAGCGCCCUAGGGUAAAACUGGUGACUGGGGCU
This 1431-nucleotide ribosomal RNA is filed under the name uncultured organism. RNAcentral describes it as "SSU rRNA". It matches the Rfam family "Bacterial small subunit ribosomal RNA". The record is from RNAcentral.